GCAUGCGAGUGCGGGAAAGUUCCGGCGGUAUGGGAUGGGGUCGCGUCCUAUCAGCUUGACGGCGGGGUAACGGCCCACCGUGGCUUCGACGGGUAGCCGGCCUGAGAGGGCGACCGGCCACAUUGGGACUGAGAUACGGCCCAGACUCCUACGGGAGGCAGCAGUGGGGAAUAUUGCACAAUGGGCGAAAGCCUGAUGCAGCGACGCCGCGUGAGGGAUGGAGGCCUUCGGGUUGUAAACCUCUUUUAUCGGGGAGCAAGCGUGAGUGAGUUUACCCGUUGAAUAAGCACCGGCUAACUACGUGCCAGCAGCCGCGGUAAUACGUAGGGUGCAAGCGUUAUCCGGAUUUAUUGGGCGUAAAGGGCUCGUAGGCGGUUCGUCGCGUCUGGUGUGAAAGUCCAUCGCUUAACGGUGGAUCUGCGCCGGGUACGGGCGGGCUGGAGUGCGGCAGGGGAGACUGGAAUUCCCGGUGUAACGGUGGAAUGUGUAGAUAUCGGGAAGAACACCAAUGGCGAAGGCAGGUCUCUGGGCCGUUACUGACGCUGAGGAGCGAAAGCGUGGGGAGCGAACAGGAUUAGAUACCCUGGUAGUCCACGCCGUAAACGGUGGACGCUGGAUGUGGGGCCCUUUCCACGGGUUCCGUGUCGGAGCUAACGCGUUAAGCGUCCCGCCUGGGGAGUACGGCCGCAAGGCUAAAACUCAAAGAAAUUGACGGGGGCCCGCACAAGCGGCGGAGCAUGCGGAUUAAUUCGAUGCAACGCGAAGAACCUUACCUGGGCUUGACAUGUUCCCGACGACCGCAGAGAUGUGGUUUCCCUUCGGGGCGGGUUCACAGGUGGUGCAUGGUCGUCGUCAGCUCGUGUCGUGAGAUGUUGGGUUAAGUCCCGCAACGAGCGCAACCCUCGCCCCGUGUUGCCAGCAUGUAAUGAUGGGAACUCACGGGGGACCGCCGGGGUUAACUCGGAGGAAGGUGGGGAUGACGUCAGAUCAUCAUGCCCCUUACGUCCAGGGCUUCACGCAUGCUACAAUGGCCGGUACAGCGGGAUGCGACAUGGCGACAUGGAGCGGAUCCCUGAAAACCGGUCUCAGUUCGGAUUGGAGUCUGCAACCCGACUCCAUGAAGGCGGAGUCGCUAGUAAUCGCGGAUCAGCAACGCCGCGGUGAAUGCGNUNCCNGGCCUUGUACACACCGNCCGUCAAGUCANGAAAGUNGGCAGCA
This 1218-nucleotide ribosomal RNA is filed under the name Bifidobacterium sp. RNAcentral's name for it is "bacterial SSU rRNA". It matches the Rfam family "Bacterial small subunit ribosomal RNA", at positions 188 to 1419 of the family's 1533-position model. Lineage: Bacteria; Bacillati; Actinomycetota; Actinomycetes; Bifidobacteriales; Bifidobacteriaceae. The record is from RNAcentral.